RNAcentral lists this ribosomal RNA (253 nucleotides) under uncultured bacterium. RNAcentral's name for it is "partial 16S ribosomal RNA". It matches the Rfam family "Bacterial small subunit ribosomal RNA", at positions 524 to 776 of the family's 1533-position model. The record is from RNAcentral.
UACGAAGGGGGCUAGCGUUGUUCGGAAUUACUGGGCGUAAAGCGCACGUAGGCGGAUUUGUAAGUCAGGGGUGAAAUCCCGGGGCUCAACCUCGGAACUGCCUUUGAUACUGCAAGUCUCGAGUCCGAUAGAGGUGAGUGGAAUUCCUAGUGUAGAGGUGAAAUUCGUAGAUAUUAGGAAGAACACCAGUGGCGAAGGCGACUUACUGGACGAUUGUUGACGCUGAGGUGCGAAAGCGUGGGGAGCAAACAGG